This 255-nucleotide ribosomal RNA is filed under the name uncultured bacterium. Its description in RNAcentral is "partial 16S ribosomal RNA". It matches the Rfam family "Bacterial small subunit ribosomal RNA", at positions 77 to 334 of the family's 1533-position model. The record is from RNAcentral.
CAAACUGGAGAUGGCGACCGGCGCACGGGUGAGUAACACGUAUCCAACCUGCCGAUAACUCGGGGAUAGCCUUUCGAAAGAAAGAUUAAUACCCGAUGGCAUAAUAGAACCGCAUGGUUUGAUUAUUAAAGAAUUUCGGUUAUCGAUGGGGACGCGUUCCAUUAGGCAGUUGGUGGGGUAACGGCCCACCAAACCUUCGAUGGAUAGGGGUUCUGAGAGGAAGGUCCCCCACAUUGGAACUGAGACACGGUCCAA